Molecule: ribosomal RNA, 465 nt
Filed under: Vreelandella stevensii
Lineage: Bacteria; Pseudomonadati; Pseudomonadota; Gammaproteobacteria; Oceanospirillales; Halomonadaceae
Description: partial 16S ribosomal RNA
Rfam family: Bacterial small subunit ribosomal RNA
Source: RNAcentral
CCUACGGGCGGCUGCAGUGGGGAAUAUUGGACAAUGGGGGCAACCCUGAUCCAGCCAUGCCGCGUGUGUGAAGAAGGCCCUCGGGUUGGAAAGCACUUUCAGUGAGGAAGAACGCCUGGUGGUUAAUACCCAUCAGGAAAGACAUCACUCACAGAAGAAGCACCGGCUAACUCCGUGCCAGCAGCCGCGGUAAUACGGAGGGUGCGAGCGUUAAUCGGAAUUACUGGGCGUAAAGCGCGCGUAGGUGGAUUGAUAAGCCGGUUGUGAAAGCCCCGGGCUCAACCUGGGAACGGCAUCCGGAACUGGCAAGCUAGAGUGCAGGAGAGGAAGGUAGAAUUCCCGGUGUAGCGGUGAAAUGCGUAGAGAUCGGGAGGAAUACCAGUGGCGAAGGCGGCCUUCUGGACUGACACUGACACUGAGGUGCGAAAGCGUGGGUAGCAAACAGGAUUAGAUACCCGUGUAGUC